This 2971-nucleotide long non-coding RNA is filed under the name Sus scrofa (pig). Its description in RNAcentral is "lncRNA (ENSSSCG00035072050.1)". The record is from RNAcentral. Lineage: Eukaryota; Metazoa; Chordata; Mammalia; Artiodactyla; Suidae.
UUUUUUUUUUUUUUUUUUUUCCUGUGUGGACGUCCAGCCGUUCCAGCACCAUUUGUUGAAAAACUAACUUUGCCCAUUGUAUUGUCUUUGUUCCCACUACCAGUUGGCUCUAUUUGUGUGUGUCUAUUUCAGGAUUCUAUUCUGUUCUAUGAACGUGUUUUCCUGUCUUUUUACGAAUAUCACCCCAUCCCGAUCACUACAGUUCUGUCGGAAGGCUUAAGACCCAGUAGAGUCAGUCAUCCUGCUUUGUUUUUCUCCUUCCAUAUUGUGCUGCUUUUCUGGACUUUUUGACUCUCCAUAUACAUUUUAUUUUAUUAAAAAAAUUUUUUUUGUCUUUUUAGGGCCACACCUGUGGCACAUGGAGGUUCCCAUGCUAGGGGUCCAGUUGGAGCUGAAGCUGCUGGCCUGCACCACAGCCACAGCAACACGGGAUCUGAGCCACAUCUGAGACCGACACCCCAGCUCAUGGCAACGCUGGUCCUUCACCCACUGAGCGAGGCCAGGGAUCGACCCCACAUCCUCAUGGAUGCUAGUCAGGUUCACUAACCGCUGAGCCAUGAGGGGAACUCCUCCAUGUACGUUUUAGAAUCCAUUUGUGGUAUCCACAAAGAGCUGCCUAGGAUUUUGAGUGGGAUGCCUUAAAUCUACAGAUCAAAUUCGGAAGAGCUGGCCUCUUAACCACUGCCUUCCUCUCCACGAGCUUGGAACCUCUCUCCACUCAAUUAGUUCUUCUUUGAUUUCUUUCAUCGGUUUUGUAGCUUUCCUCACAUAGAUUUUGUUCCCGUUUUGUUAGGUUUAUUGUAAGCAUUUCCUUUUUCGGGGGCUCAUGUACAUGAUACUGUGUUUUAAAUGUCAAUUUCCAGUUGUUCAUUGCUAGUAUAUGAACUAGGAAUGUGACUUUUGUAUUUUAAGCUUAUAUCCUGCAGUCUUGCUAUAAUUGCUUAUUAGUCCCCAGAGUUUUCUGAUUCUUCGGAUUUUCUGUUUAGAUGACGUGCCAUUUGCGCACAAACACAGCCUUAGUCCUUCCUUCCCAACCUGCAUACCUUUUAUUUCCUUUUCUUGCCCAACUGCAUUAGCAAAGACGUUCCAUACAAGGUUGAGAAGGUGGUACAGCUGGUUUUUCCGCUCAGCAGUGGAUAUUUGUUGUUUCUGGGUUUUGCCUGCUCUGAGGAGAGCUGCUUUGUUCAGAUCAUACAGCACAUGUGUGGACAUAUGUGCUCUCUUCUCAUGGGGAAGCGCCCAGGCGUGGGAUGCUGCAUUGCAGGUCAAAGAGAUGCCGGACGGUCCGAGGCGCAGCCGAGCUCCUGUCCAGGGCGGGUUUCUGAUGGGCAGCGUGUCGGUGGCUUUUGACGCUCAUCUGAUAGUCUCUGCCUUCCAGUCAGAGUAUUUAGACCAUUUAAGUUUUGCUGACUCUGGAUGGAGAGGGUUGAAACCUACCCUCUUCCUAAAGCUUUUUGCUUUUGUCCUGUUUGUCCUUUGUUACUUCCCCCUUUUUUGCCUUCUCUUGGGGCCUCUUCUACAAUUCCAUUUUACUGCACCUGUCAGCUGACCGGUGACCCUUUGGGGGCUUUUCAGUGACGGGGCAGCAUCGUGACUCUCACGUUCGCCCCUCGCUCAGACACAGAAGAAUUCAGAGACACGGGUCUCUGCAGGGCUUCCUGCCCACUAGGAGUUUGCAGCGUCUGCCUCAUGUGGGAGAGAGGUCCAGGGACUGCCCAGUUUCUCCUCUGCAGCCCUCGGGGCGGCGGCGGGGGGUGGGGGGGGGAAUUCCGUCCCUCUUCUGGGCACCUGGCAGCUGGCACAGGCCCUCCCUGUAGCCAAGCCAGCUCCCCAGCUUGUUUUGCCCUUAGGAAUCCAUCAAACCCUCAGCCACAUUCCUUUUAUCUGAGGUCCGGGCCACCGUGCUUUGGUCAGAAUCAUCUGAGGUUUUGUUUGCUUCAUUUUGUUUGGUGCAAGAGGCAAGGAGCAGAUGGUAUACUGUUAACAGAUGGAGAGGAAACCAAAAGCCUCCAGUCUCUUCUCUGCUUCCUUUAUGUAAAAACGGAGUUCCUGCAGAAAGGACACGCAGGCUUGCGGGGAGUGAGAUCCCAACAGAGAAGAACGCGACACCUGCUCUCCAAGGGCGUGUGGGCGGUCCGACCCAGAUAACCUGAAAGACCUUGGGAACGCGUGUGAAGUGCUUGGAGGGAACCUCUCUGGAAUCUUGAAGAACGAGACAGACACCAGGACAGAGGAGGUGGCAGACGCGCCAGCUCUUGGGGCGGGGAGGAGACUACGGAUGCGCAAGCUCACUGUCCACAGGUCCUUGGAGGAUCCGUUCAGCACUCCAGGUGAGGGUGCGCCAGAAAGAGCAGCCUGGACGUUCCAAACCCUUCGAAGCAUAGCAGCGCCGUCAAGGCACCAACAGGUAAACCUCAGGCCGGAGAAGCCACAGGGGUUUCCAGCCACAGCGGCCAAGCUGAGCUCAAGCGUUUCAAGCAACCCCUUCAAGAAAGAGCCGACUUGGGGGUCCCCAUGCCGCUCACUCAGAGAACCAGCCCCUCUGGUCAAUUCCUUCUCCCAGCUGCGUGGGCAUUUGAUACCAGGUCCCCGAAGGGUGAGCCCUUGCACAGAGACCUCUCCACUGUCCGCACCCCCGGACGAGGGCACGAUUUCAGAACACCUGCUCUCCUUGCCGUCACAUCUCCACGUGACUCCCAGCCCACGAGCCACCUCUGCAAAGGACCGAGGCCAGCAAACCUCUUCCUGAUGUACAACCAGUGGGACUCAGCUGCCUCCUGGACCGAUUCACUUCUCACAAAAUUAUCCUGACAGCCUCGCUUGCUGACCUCGGGGAACCCAGACUGAACCCGUUGCCUUGCCUUUGGGACCAGGACGGGCGUUGUUUAAAGAUGGGCCCUGUAUGUCGCUCCAGAUCAGAAUGUUUUCCUUUUAUAGCAUUUUAACAGCUUUUCCCAGAAAACAUCAGCCU